This 94-nucleotide transfer RNA is filed under the name Aromia moschata. Its description in RNAcentral is "tRNA-OTHER". The record is from RNAcentral. Lineage: Eukaryota; Metazoa; Arthropoda; Insecta; Coleoptera; Cerambycidae.
GCGGCGAUAGCUCAAGUGGGUAAAGCGCCAGGUGAGUAGAUGGCGACUACUCCGAGAGCUAUUCUCCGCGCGGGUUCGAAUCCCGCCUGUGGCA